AUUGAACGCUGGCGGCAGGCUUAACACAUGCAAGUCGAGCGGGGAAAGGUAGCUUGCUCCCUGACCUAGCGGCGGACGGGUGAGUAAUGCUUAGGAAUCUGCCUAUUAGUGGGGGACAACAUCUCGAAAGGGAUGCUAAUACCGCAUACGUCCUACGGGAGAAAGCAGGGGACCUUCGGGCCUUGCGCUAAUAGAUGAGCCUAAGUCGGAUUAGCUAGUUGGUGGGGUAAAGGCCUACCAAGGCGACGAUCUGUAGCGGGUCUGAGAGGAUGAUCCGCCACACUGGGACUGAGACACGGCCCAGACUCCUACGGGAGGCAGCAGUGGGGAAUAUUGGACAAUGGGGGGAACCCUGAUCCAGCCAUGCCGCGUGGGGGAAGAAGGCCUUUUGGUUGUAAAGCACUUUAAGCGAGGAGGAGGCUACCGAGAUUAAUACUCUUGGAUAGUGGACGUUACUCGCAGAAUAAGCACCGGCUAACUCUGUG
Molecule: ribosomal RNA, 485 nt
Filed under: uncultured bacterium
Lineage: Bacteria
Description: partial 16S ribosomal RNA
Rfam family: Bacterial small subunit ribosomal RNA
Source: RNAcentral